This 465-nucleotide ribosomal RNA is filed under the name Vreelandella stevensii. Its description in RNAcentral is "partial 16S ribosomal RNA". It matches the Rfam family "Bacterial small subunit ribosomal RNA", at positions 338 to 795 of the family's 1533-position model. Lineage: Bacteria; Pseudomonadati; Pseudomonadota; Gammaproteobacteria; Oceanospirillales; Halomonadaceae. The record is from RNAcentral.
CCUACGGGUGGCUGCAGUGGGGAAUAUUGGACAAUGGGGGCAACCCUGAUCCAGCCAUGCCGCGUGUGUGAAGAAGGCCCUCGGGUUGUAAAGCACUUUCAGUGAGGAAGAACGCCUGGUGGUUAAUACCCAUCAGGAAAGACAUCACUCACAGAAGAAGCACCGGCUAACUCCGUGCCAGCAGCCGCGGUAAUACGGAGGGUGCGAGCGUUAAUCGGAAUUACUGGGCGUAAAGCGCGCGUAGGUGGCUUGAUAAGCCGGUUGUGAAAGCCCCGGGCUCAACCUGGGAACGGCAUCCGGAACUGUCAAGCUAGAGUGCAGGAGAGGAAGGUGGAAUUCCCGGUGUAGCGGUGAAAUGCAUAGAGAUCGGGAGGAAUACCAGUGGCGAAGGCGGCCUUCUGGACUGACACUGACACUGAGGUGCGAAAGCGUGGGUAGCAAACAGGAUUAGAUACCCUUGUAGUC